AAACAUGUCUUUUUGAAUUUAAUUUAAAGUCUAAUCUGCCCACUGAUUUAAAAUUAAAGGGCUGCAGUAAUUUGACUGUACAAAGGUAGCAUAAUCAUUAGUCUUUUAAUUGAAGACUUGUAUGAAAGAUUUGAUGAGAUAUAAACUGUCUCUUAUUUAUAAUUAAAAUUUAAUUUUUUAGUUAAAAAGCUAAAAUAAAUUUAAAAGACGAGAAGACCCUAUAGAGUUUUAUAAUUUAUAAAUUAAAAUAUUUAUAUAAAAUUUUAAUAUUAAAUUUUGUUAAUUAUUUUAUUGGGGUGAUAAAAAAAUUUAAAAAACUUUUUUUUAAAAAUUUUCAUAAAUAAAUGAAUAAAUGAUCUUGAAUAAUGAUUAAAAGAAAAAAUUACCUUAGGGAUAACAGCGUAAUAUUUUUUUUUAGUACAAAUAAAAAAAAAAGUUUGCGACCUCGAUGUUGGAUUAAGAUAAAAUUUAAAUGCAAAAGUUUAAAAUUUUGAUCUGUUC
This 501-nucleotide ribosomal RNA is filed under the name Jamides celeno. RNAcentral describes it as "partial 16S ribosomal RNA". The record is from RNAcentral. Lineage: Eukaryota; Metazoa; Arthropoda; Insecta; Lepidoptera; Lycaenidae.